ACUCCUACGGGAGGCAGCAGUGGGGAAUAUUGCACAAUGGGCGAAAGCCUGAUGCAGCAACGCCGCGUGAGGGACGACGGCCUUCGGGUUGUAAACCUCUUUUAGUAGGGAAGAAGCUUUCGAGUGACGGUACCUGCAGAAAAAGCACCGGCUAACUACGUGCCAGCAGCCGCGGUAAUACGUAGGGUGCAAGCGUUGUCCGGAAUUAUUGGGCGUAAAGAGCUCGUAGGCGGUUUGUCGCGUCUGCUGUGAAAUCCGGGGGCUCAACCUCCGGCCUGCAGUGGGUACGGGCAGACUAGAGUGCGGUAGGGGAGAUUGGAAUUCCUGGUGUAGCGGUGGAAUGCGCAGAUAUCAGGAGGAACACCAAUGGCGAAGGCAGAUCUCUGGGCCGUAACUGACGCUGAGGAGCGAAAGCAUGGGGAGCGAACAGGAUUAGAUACCCUGGUAGUCCAUGCCGUAAACGUUGGGAACUAGGCGUAGGGUCCAUUCCACGGAUUCUGUGCCGCAGCUAACGCAUUAAGUUCCCCGCCUGGGGAGUACGGCCGCAAGGCUAAAACUCAAAGGAAUUGACGGGGGCCCGCACAAGCGGCGGAGCAUGCGGAUUAAUUCGAUGCAACGCGAAGAACCUUACCAAGGCUUGACAUAUACCGAAAACCUGCAGAAAUGUAGGCCCCGCAAGGUCGGUAUACAGGUGGUGCAUGGUUGUCGUCAGCUCGUGUCGUGAGAUGUUGGGUUAAGUCCCGCAACGAGCGCAACCCUCGUUCUAUGUUGCCAGCACGUAAUGGUGGGAACUCAUAGGAGACUGCCGGGGUCAACUCGGAGGAAGGUGGGGAUGACGUCAAAUCAUCAUGCCCCUUAUGUCUCGGGCUUCACGCAUGCUACAAUGGCCGGUACAAAGGGCUGCAAUACCGUAAGGUGGAGCGAAUCCCAAAAAGCCGGUCUCAGUUCGGAUUGAGGUCUGCAACUCGACCUCAUGAAGUCGGAGUCGCUAGUAGUCGCAGAUCAGCAACGCUGCGGUGAAUACGUUCCCGGGCCUUG
RNAcentral lists this ribosomal RNA (1038 nucleotides) under uncultured bacterium. Its description in RNAcentral is "bacterial SSU rRNA". It matches the Rfam family "Bacterial small subunit ribosomal RNA", at positions 335 to 1383 of the family's 1533-position model. The record is from RNAcentral.